UACGGAGGGGGCUAGCGUUGUUCGGAAUUACUGGGCGUAAAGCGCACGUAGGCGGACUGUUAAGUCGGGGGUGAAAUCCUGGGGCUCAACCUCAGAAUUGCCUCCGAUACUGGCAGUCUCGAGUGCGGAAGAGGUGAGUGGAAUUCCCAGUGUAGAGGUGAAAUUCGUAGAUAUUGGGAAGAACACCAGUGGCGAAGGCGGCUCACUGGCCCGUAACUGACGCUGAGGUGCGAAAGCGUGGGGAGCAAACAGG
This 253-nucleotide ribosomal RNA is filed under the name uncultured bacterium. RNAcentral describes it as "partial 16S ribosomal RNA". It matches the Rfam family "Bacterial small subunit ribosomal RNA", at positions 524 to 776 of the family's 1533-position model. The record is from RNAcentral.